GCACUCAUUUUGGAAGCACAUACACCAGAACUGAAAUGAUACAUAGAUUAGAAUGGUCCCUGUGCAAGGAUGACAUGCAAAUCUGUGAAGUGUUCCAUAUCUUU
Small nuclear RNA from Vulpes vulpes (red fox), 104 nucleotides. The record is from Ensembl. NCBI's taxonomy places the organism in Eukaryota, Metazoa, Chordata, Mammalia, Carnivora, Canidae.